This 499-nucleotide ribosomal RNA is filed under the name uncultured bacterium. RNAcentral describes it as "bacterial SSU rRNA". It matches the Rfam family "Bacterial small subunit ribosomal RNA", at positions 583 to 1089 of the family's 1533-position model. The record is from RNAcentral.
AUAAGUCAGUGGUGAAAGCCCAUCGCUCAACGGUGGAACGNCCAUUGAUACUGUUAAACUUGAAUUAUUAGGAAGUAACUAGAAUAUGUAGUGUAGCGGUGAAAUGCUUAGAGAUUACAUGGAAUACCAAUUGCGAAGGCAGGUUGCUACUAAUGGAUUGACGCUGAUGGACGAAAGCGUGGGUAGCGAACAGGAUUAGAUACCCUGGUAGUCCACGCCGUAAACGAUGGAUACUAGCUGUUGGGAGCAAUCUCAGUGGCUAAGCGAAAGUGAUAAGUAUCCCACCUGGGGAGUACGUUCGCAAGAAUGAAACUCAAAGGAAUUGACGGGGGCCCGCACAAGCGGUGGAGCAUGUGGUUUAAUUCGAUGAUACGCGAGGAACCUUACCAAGGCUUAAAUGUAGUUUGACCGAUUUGGAAACAGAUCUUUCACAAGACAAAUUACAAGGUGCUGCAUGGUUGUCGUCAGCUCGUGCCGUGAGGUGUCAGGUUAAGUCCUA